AUCCCCGGCGGCUCCGCCCCCGCGCGGACCCCUCCCCUCCUCGCCGCACCGCCCGGCAAACCCCAGCGCUCCGCCUGGGCGGACCAAUCGCAGCCCCCGGCAACGCACCAGCCGCGACCCCGGCCCCUUCGCCCGCGCCGGCGCCCCAGCCCCCCCACCUUCGCGCGCGGGAGGAAGAUGCUCGCGAAGGGCGCCUGAGGGGACUGGAGGCCGGGGCCGGGGCCUGGGGAUGAAACCUGGGCAGCUCUUAGCCCGCGACCGACACCCCCAGCCCUUCCCCCCACGGUACCUCGCCCGGACUCUGGCCCCGGGCCGGGCUUGGAGACCUCCAACCACGAGAACGAUACUCAAAGCACUACGCAAAUGGAGGGUGAACACAGAAAAGCGCAGGUGUGAUUCCUGAGAUACCCACCCCCCCUCCACCAGGCAGCCCCGCAGGAGGCUGGCAGCCCCAGGACAGACCCAGAGCGCUCCAGGUGGGCCCGGCUCGGCCUCCGCCCCGUGCUGUCCCCAAUGCGGGAGCGGGGCCGGCUUCAAGGGCAGUCGCGCGCACCCACCC
Molecule: long non-coding RNA, 559 nt
Filed under: Homo sapiens (human)
Lineage: Eukaryota; Metazoa; Chordata; Mammalia; Primates; Hominidae
Description: non-protein coding lnc-POLR2L-3:1
Source: RNAcentral